Molecule: unclassified non-coding RNA, 222 nt
Filed under: uncultured Tomentella
Lineage: Eukaryota; Fungi; Basidiomycota; Agaricomycetes; Thelephorales; Thelephoraceae
Description: sequence contains ITS2
Source: RNAcentral
ACACCUCAACUCUUUAUGGUUUUCCAUGAUGAGCUUGGACUUUGGGGGUUUUGCUGGCCUACAGGUCAGCUCCUCUAAAAUAAAUCAGCUUGCCAGUGUUUGGUGGGUAUCAUGGGUGUGAUAACUAUCUACGCUCGUGGUUUUCCACCAGAUAACCUUCAGCAGUGGAGGUUCGCUGGAGCUCAUAGAUGUCUCUCCUCAGUGAGGACAGCCCCUUUGAAU